GACGAACGCUGGCGGCGUGCUUAACACAUGCAAGUCGAACGGAAAGGCCCUGCUUUCGUGGUGUGCUCGAGUGGCGAACGGGUGUGUAACACGUGAGUAACCUGCCCUUGAUUUUGGGAUAACUUCAGGAAACUGGGGCUAAUACCGGAUAGGAGCUCCUGCUGCAUGGUGGGGGUUGGAAAGUUUCGGCGGUUGGGGAUGGACUCGCGGCUUAUCAGCUUGUUGGUGGGGUAGUGGCUUACCAAGGCUUUGACGGGUAGCCGGCCUGAGAGGGUGACCGGCCACAUUGGGACUGAGAUACGGCCCAGACUCCUACGGGAGGCAGCAGUGGGGAAUAUUGCACAAUGGGCGGAAGCCGGAUGCAGCAACGCCGCGUGCGGGAUGACGGCCUUCGGGUUGUAAACCGCUUUCGCCUGUGACGAAGCGUGAGUGACGGUAAUUGGUAAAGAAGCACCGGCUAACUACGUG
This 468-nucleotide ribosomal RNA is filed under the name uncultured bacterium. RNAcentral describes it as "partial 16S ribosomal RNA". It matches the Rfam family "Bacterial small subunit ribosomal RNA", at positions 28 to 507 of the family's 1533-position model. The record is from RNAcentral.